CGGGAAGCUCGUUAGAAACAAACGACCGUUGCGCGCUCGCGAUCGUGCGCGCGCAGGAGCGUCUGUUUGCUAGCUGAGAGGAAACAUGAUGCUACCGUUCCCACAAACUUUCAGGACCCAUGAAGUUCUCCAGAGAACGUUAUAAGCAAGCAGUGCGCUCGCGUGACGCUCAUUGAGGCCGGGGACGGUUUAGUUUAGAGCACGUCAGGAAUCCGCUCCAGGGCCCGUGGGUUGUGGAUUAUUCUGGUUGUUCGCGGCCUUGGGUCAAACUACCGCCGCAAGUGUGACAGACGAGACGCAAGGGAUAACGUCGCUUUCUUCACGUCAACGAGCACUGAGGAGGAUUUCUGCUCGAUUCAGUCAAUCCAGUGCCGCUGGUCCUCAGACGGUGCGGGAGCUCAGAGGAAAGCGGUCGCACCCACAGGCCACGCAGCUAAUAGAGUCACGCUCAGAGAGAGGCGCUGUUUUCACGCUGGCCUCUCGCAGAGCCGACGGCGUCUUCCUGCACGACGCAGGUCAGCGGGGGCUAACGCCAGCUCUGCAUUAGCAAGAACGCUGCAGGCAGGAAGCCAAGCGGGGACGCGGCGACGCACAAAUGGAGCGCUUCCACGUGGCAAAUAAAGAAGUGCAGAGGCA
This 636-nucleotide long non-coding RNA is filed under the name Betta splendens (Siamese fighting fish). RNAcentral's name for it is "lncRNA (ENSBSLG00000026657.1)". Lineage: Eukaryota; Metazoa; Chordata; Actinopteri; Anabantiformes; Osphronemidae. The record is from RNAcentral.